GCAUGACGGCGCUGGCCUCGAGAUGCGACGAGACCACCACACUCUUGUUGUUGUUGUUAUUAGAACUGGCACCGAGUGCAAGGUGUCAUCCAAGUUCCCCGAUAGGGGCGACAUCGGAAGAAACUUCCACGAGCGGCGAUGGUACAUCCUCGUCGACUUCUUCAUCGUCAACUUCUUCAUCGUCAUCUUCUUCGUCAUCCUCGUCCUCGUCUUCAUCGUCAACAUCUUCUUCUUCUUCUUCUUCUUCAUCUUCAACAUCUUCAUCGUCUUCUUCCUCUUCUUCUUCUUCUUCAUCGUCAAGAAUUACGAUUGCGAGUACAUCAUCGUCUUACGACGAAAUUUUAACGUUAUCAACGAGAUAGCAUUCGCAGAAGACGGCGUGGGUGAAAGAAGUUAUGAUCCCGCCAGUCUUCGGCAACAUUAUGUCUAACGAGGACGCCGUUAGCUCGGCAACGGCGUCAACGAGGAGCAUAUUCGAGGAGAACAUGACGUGGUAUAGUUCUACAACGGUUCCCGGGACAACAACUUCAUCAUUUUCUACGAUAAACGUGGAUAACGUGGAAGAAGAGGAUAGAACGGAAAUUAAUUUAACAAGUCUUACCGAUUUUGCCGUCGGUUGGACCAGCGAUUGGAACAACGACACCACAGAAACUACUAUUGAAGAUAAUAAUAAUAAUAGUAGUAGUAGUAAUAGUAGUAGAAGGAGGAUUGGCGGAAAAAUCGUGUCAUCGGAAGAGAACGGUACUUUGAACGAUCCGAUUGAGAGGAUCGGCGAACAGCCGAGAGGAGGAGGAGAAGGAGGAGGUGGAGGUGGAGGAGGAGGUGGAAGAGAAAAUCCCCUCGGCUGUGGCUGCGACAUAGAAGAUUCUUCAUUCAUUUCAAGUAUCUCAAAUAGAAGUACGUUUGAGAUCUUCACAGGUGGUUCCAGCCUUGGCGUCGAUCUUCUAUUUGGUAUAACCUCAGACACGAUGGAAGAAGACUUUGCCGAUUCAUACUCGAACGAUUCCAUAUUUAACGGGAGUAUGCAAUAUCCAUUUAAUAAUAAUAAUAAUAAUAAUGAUAGCAACAACGAGACAUUGAUCGUUUACGGUGAUAGUAUGUAUCCAUCCGGAUAUACAUUGCCGCAUAUCAUUUUGGCAUCUAUCAUUGCCACAUUACUGAUGAUAAUCAUCGUAGUUGGUAAUAUGUUAGUGAUAAUAGCUAUUGCUACGGAAAAGGCAUUGAAAAAUAUUCAAAACUGGUUUAUAGCCAGUUUAGCUGUUGCCGAUUUUUUCUUGGGUCUCAUUAUAAUGCCAUUUUCAUUAGCUAACGAGAUUAUGGGUUAUUGGAUUUUUGGGUAUUGGUGGUGCGACAUUUAUUCGGCGAUGGAUGUACUACUUUGUACGGCUAGCAUCAUGAACCUAUGCCUGAUAAGUCUUGAUAGGUUCUGGAGCAUUACACAAGCUGUUGAUUAUCUGAAGAAAAGAACACCGGCCAGGGCGGCACUUAUGAUUGCCCUCGUCUGGCUAUUAUCCGCCCUUGUUUGUAUACCCCCGUUGCUCGGUUGGAAAAGGCCAUCCCCGGAGGAGGAUUAUCCAAAAUGCAAGUUGUCGGAGGAUAUUGGUUACGUAUUAUACUCGGCACUCGGGAGUUUCUACAUUCCCUCUUGCAUCAUGGUGUUCGUAUACAUUCGCAUUUAUUUCGCAGCGAAAGCUAGAGCACGUCGUGGAAUAAGAAAACCACCACGACCACGUCCAAUAGCGGUACCACCAGAAUCCCCCGAUAUCAGACAGACGAGUUUCACACAGAGUACUACGGCACUGGAUUCUAGAAGAACAGGGCCAGGUGGUGCCGGGGGUAGUUCUGGAACACUCAUGGAAAAUGUCGCGACUAUAGAAAAUCAACCUGUCCAAAUACCAAUAGUAACCUGCGAUUAUGCCAGUGACGUGAGCACGUCCGAGGCGGACCCAGCUGGUGGGAACAGCAUACCAAUGGAGGAAAAAGACACCUUAAAGGUAACGAUACCCGUGCCAGUUCAAAAGACCAACCUGAAAGCAAGUUUGUCGGUGAACGGGGACGGUCAAUCUAGUCAGGCAGUUGUUGCAAGAUGCAGAGCACCUAGCGUUGGCAUUGACACUGAUAUGGUAUCAGAAUUCGACCCUUCCUCAUCUGACAGUGGUGUCGUAUCAAGGUGUGCCGUUGUGAAACCAUUAAAGUUACGACUUUGUCAGCCGAUUUUUGGUCGGAAAGCUACCGGUAAGGUCAAGAGGGAACACGCUGAUACGUCUAAGCAACAAGGAAAAGAAGAAAUCAUGAUAGAUGCUAAAUCGUCCAAACCACGUGAUCCCGAAAGAGAAAAAAAACGCAUUGCCAGGAAAAAAGAGAAACGAGCAACCCUAAUCUUAGGAUUCAUCAUGGGCAGCUUUAUUGCUUGCUGGUUACCUUUUUUCCUUCUUUACAUCGUUAAACCCCUCUUCCCUAAUCUCAAUAUACCAACCCAAGCAUUCGUCAUUGCCUUUUGGCUUGGUUACAUGAACUCAGCAUUGAAUCCUUUUAUCUAUACCGUUUUCAACAAGGACUUCCGUCGGGCAUUCCGUCGUAUACUUUUCAAAUGAAAGACAGCUUCUCUCCGUGAGGAUAACAAAUAACAAAACGCCACGGAUUCGAGACGAUGAUUUAUAUAUAUAUAUGCAUAUGUAUGUUUCAUCUAUGAUAUAAUCCAUCCUUUAAAUGAUCUUAACUAUUUUAGAAAGAUCUAAGGAAAAUCGAAUACAUCAAAUUCGAUUUACAUUAACGAAUCUCGAAAAAUGAAGCGUGAAAAACCUUCGGAGAGAGAGAGAGAGAGAGAGAGAUAGAGAGAGAAAUGCGAAUGGAAUGAACGAGAUAAAAUUUAGUCUUGUUGACUAAUAAAACAAUCAAAUAUCAAGGAGAUGAUCUUUGUUAGAAAAAUCAGUAUCCCUUAUAUAUCCCAAGAGAACACAUGGAAUUUAUUGACUCGCUCAUCUCGAAUAAAAAUAGAACAAUGAUCGGGCGUGAAUACGAUGAACGAGACUAAUGCAACCAAAGUUACGCUAUAUCAGAGAACCAAGUCAGAGAGAGAUAUUAGGGGUAAUUAUUUCGAAUUAUUUUCAUCAAUUUCCAGUGGAACGUACUGUCGAACAAAAAACCUUACACACAUGACGAAACAAAGAAAAAUUUGUUAAACUUAUUAAAAGUACGAUUAAUAUUUUGACGUGUUAAUAUAAGUAAGUUUAACUUUUUCCUUCUUCUAAUUUAUCCUUCUCAUUAAAACUUUGUUUCUUGCCAAUUUUCACAUUCAUUUUUGACAAUCCUUUUAUUGGCUUUGUUAAAACCAAUUUGUCACGUAUAAAUUAACGAUAUUAAAGAUAAUUUUUUAUAAUUUCUUAUCAAUAAUAACAUUCAAUGUAAAUAUUCGUGAAAUCUAAGUAGUUUACAGUUUUCAUUGACACCCGGUAUACCUACCGUUUUUUUUUCUUUUUUUUUUUUUUUUGACAACCCUCGGAAUAUUUGAAAAGUUGAGGUAAAAUAACUCGUGUCAAGAUUCGACGGAUCGUCGAAUAAUGGAGAUUGGUUGUAAAAAAAUAAGAAAAAAAAAUGAAAAGUGUCAAUAUGGAUUUCAUUGAUAAGAUUCUGGCACAUUUGGAUUAUUAUUAGCAUAGACGAGUUUCGAUGCAACAUCU
RNAcentral lists this unclassified non-coding RNA (3680 nucleotides) under Polistes dominula (European paper wasp). Its description in RNAcentral is "alpha-2A adrenergic receptor, transcript variant X1". Lineage: Eukaryota; Metazoa; Arthropoda; Insecta; Hymenoptera; Vespidae. The record is from RNAcentral.